RNAcentral lists this long non-coding RNA (1022 nucleotides) under Actinidia chinensis (golden kiwifruit). Its description in RNAcentral is "long non-coding RNA (ACHI_LNC004013)". The record is from RNAcentral. Lineage: Eukaryota; Viridiplantae; Streptophyta; Magnoliopsida; Ericales; Actinidiaceae.
CGGCACCAGUGUACACCUAUUUGAAGGCAUGCAGCAGUUGCAGAGGUAACUAAAUUGCAACCCUAAUACACUCCUACCCCCAAUCAAAGCCAGUGGCUGUCGGAGAGGCACGACUAAACGCAAGCGUGACUGCUUGGUGUGGUCAGAUUAUUCUCACGACUGAGUUCUAUGGGUGACCAGGUGCACAUUCCCAUAUCCCUCUUAACCUUUCUUCUAAUUCAACACUCUUCUUGAUAACAUAUCUUCAUUUUUCCGUAUGUUCCCCCGCUUAAUUGUUGAAAUCAGGCAAACUCUCAAAUGAGUUGUCGUAACUUGCAUCUAAAUGGAAAAUCUGAAAUUGUUCUAUACCAUUAGUGAUAAUGGCUAAAGUCAUGGAUGAGAAAUUCUGGUACACUUCUAUCACUUGUACAGAAAAUUAAUUUAAAAAGGAAAACUGAAAGUUUAUAACACAUGUACUGCGCAUGUAACUUAGAUAUCAAGAAAUGGCAAUUAGAUGUUUUGAUCAGUUUGCAAUUAUGUAUCCUGCUUACGUUCUUUGUUUCUGCUAGCCACUGCAAUUAUAUGACAGUGACUUGUGUUCGUCUCCAAAAUAGGAAACAAGAAGAAACAUUCAGGUAUGACUUCGUUUUGUUUAGGUUGUAUGUAAUCUGUGUUUUGGUGUGAUUGAAAACUGAAUAUCUCAAUCCCCCCACCCCACUCCACCCCACCCCUCAAAAAAAAAAAAAAUCUUUCUUAUUUAUGUCUGACAACUUAUUGAUGAACUUAAAUAUGAUGUUGCAUGGUGUCGUCGUGGCUGUUACAGUUGCUAAAGCAGUUUGGAAAGCAUUAUUUGUGAGUCCUGCAACGAGUGCUCCUGGUUAGAUAGGACACAGGAGGCGCUGAAGUGGUCUUGUCUUGACUGUGUUUUUGUAGUUUGGUGUUACAUACAACUAGGGGCUGUAAAUUCGGACUGCCCGGCCCGGACCAUGUGUCAGGCUCCUGGAAUGCCCAGGCUCGGGCACAGGCUUCUGGUGAUACUUGGG